GAUGAACGCUAGCGGCAGGCCUAAUACAUGCAAGCCAAGGGCUGUUUGGUGUAGCAAUACAUCAAACAACCGGCGGACGGGUGCGUAACGCGUAUGCAACCUACCCUAUACAGGAGGAUAGCCCUCGGAAACGAGGAUUAAUACUCCAUAAGAUUGCUUAGCGGCAUCUUUAAGCAAUUAAAGCCGCUAGGCGGUAGAGGAUGGGCGUGCGUCCGAUUAGCUAGUUGGUGAGGUAAUGGCUCACCAAGGCGAUGAUGGGUAGGGGGCCUGAGAGGAAGAUCGGCCACAUUGGGACUGAGAUCAGGCCCAGACUCCUACGGGAGGCAGAAGUGGGGAAUAUUGCACAAUGGGCGGAAGCCGGAUGCAGGAACGCCGCGUGCGGGAUGACGGCCUUCGGGUUGUAAACCGCUUUCGCCUGUGACGAAGCGUGAGUGACGGUAAUGGGUAAAGAAGCACCGGCUAACUACGUG
Molecule: ribosomal RNA, 470 nt
Filed under: uncultured bacterium
Lineage: Bacteria
Description: partial 16S ribosomal RNA
Rfam family: Bacterial small subunit ribosomal RNA
Source: RNAcentral